GUGAUCGCUUUGGCAGCACGUAUACUAAAAUUGUAAUAAUACAGAGAAGAUUAGCAUGGUCGCUUCACAAGGAUGACAUGCAAAUUCCUGAAACGUACCAUAUUUUU
Molecule: small nuclear RNA, 107 nt
Organism: Trichechus manatus latirostris (Florida manatee)
Lineage: Eukaryota; Metazoa; Chordata; Mammalia; Sirenia; Trichechidae
Source: RefSeq, a predicted model, not a curated record